Odocoileus virginianus texanus is the source of this 446-nucleotide non-coding RNA. The record is from RefSeq and is a predicted model, not a curated record. Lineage: Eukaryota; Metazoa; Chordata; Mammalia; Artiodactyla; Cervidae.
CUUCGCUGGGAGACAUGGCCGAGAAGUCAGCCCGGCCUGACAGGAAGGCCUCAACCACCCCUAGGCCCUGGAGCACCGACACCAUGUCGAGUAAACAGAUGACCGGGAAUCAGACACAGAUCAUCGGAGGAGGCAGCACCGUCUCCAGGAGAAGCGGUGGACGGCGGGGUGUGCAGAACCCCUGAUGGAAACGCUAUCUGUGCCCUGGUUAGCGCUACAAACUGUCCACCAGCUUCUCCCUGUUCCCAUAGCAAGGCACCUGUUGUCAGCAUACUGGUGCUGGCCUGGGAAAGAUGGUUCAUUCAGCAAAAUAAACGAGGUACUCUGCUGUUCUCAGAAAAGGAAGUCAGAUUUUCAGAGCUAAAAGAUGCCCAAGAGAAAUUCAUAGGUCUUCUCCCCAAAGAUCCUGUUGGCCGUCGUGAGCAAGUACUGAGCGUCAGGCUUGU